AAACGGUUGUGUCGUCAGCGAAUAAGGC
RNAcentral lists this non-coding RNA (28 nucleotides) under Bombyx mori (domestic silkworm). Lineage: Eukaryota; Metazoa; Arthropoda; Insecta; Lepidoptera; Bombycidae. The record is from RNAcentral.